Molecule: long non-coding RNA, 1127 nt
Organism: Solanum lycopersicum (tomato)
Lineage: Eukaryota; Viridiplantae; Streptophyta; Magnoliopsida; Solanales; Solanaceae
Source: RefSeq, a predicted model, not a curated record
UUCUCUUUAACACUUUCCAGCAACCAAAUCCAAUUUUUUCAGCCAUUACAUCCAGCUAAGCCCACUCCAUCAUCCAGUCAGCCCAGCCCACUAACAAUACUAAAAAGACAAUCCCCAUCAUAAAAACACGUACAACCUACCCAUCACAUUUCUUCUUCUUCUUCUACAGGACGAACCCAAAAACGAAACCCAGAACCUCAGAGCGACCCAGAAUCGCAAACCCAAAUCCAGUGAGCCCAAUGCAGAGUGUAUCUCUCUCUCUCUAUCCCUUGUCUUCUUCUUAUGGGAAUAAUCCAGAUGUUACAAUCUUGAUGAUGGUUCCUCCUUGCUCCUCGAACCGGACGACUCUCCUUUCAAAUCCAUUUGGAAUUUGUACUCAUUCGAGAGGGUAGCCUUAUAUCUUAAUGAUAUUUAAAUUUGAAUUUGAAAUUCAUCCAAUAUUUCACACGAAUUUCCCCCAAAAUCAUGCCCUAAUUCCUCCUAUAAAAUCCCCUCAUCAUCUUCAUUAUAAAAAGGUUAGAGAUAGCUUACAUUAGGAGAGAAAAUAGAGAAAGAAAAGGGAGUCGGGAGAAUUUAGCAGGAAAUUGAGAUAAACACAGUGAAAUACUACACAUAUAUAAACAUCCAAGAAAUAGAAUUUGAAAGUCAUAGAAAGGAGGAACAGAGAUUUGGGUCUCUUUUGAUUCUGCUCUGUUCAUCAGCUCUCUUGGAGUUGCAUUUUGGUAGCGGUGAAGUCGCUACUCCUGCACUCGUCUAGUCUCAGUUCCGCUGUCUCGAGAAAGACACACGUAUUCAGGAUCAUCAAUAGGAGCUUUUUUGAUACAUCCGAGAGUUCGAGUUAGCUAUGGUGAACCCCUUGUUUUCGGAAGAUUUCAGUUACUUUUCAGUUUAGUCGGGAUGUCGUGGGUCUUGUCUCGACUUCCAUCUUUAUCAGUUAGAGGCUUCAUAGAUAGUCACUUUAGUUAAGAAGCCUAUACUAUUCAUUUGUUUUAUUAAAUGUUUUAAAGACUUAAGUUGCUAUUUUAUGGUGAGUUUAAUAUAUGAUUUUCAUUCAAAGUUGGUCAUUUGAGUUAAAACCUUUGUAAAGUUUAUUUUAUUGAAUUUUACUUCAGUUUUAAGUUUUUGCA